UUAAAACUGUUUAAUGCUGUUUUUAGUCCUUUUACAAUUACGUGAGAAAAACAGUUGGAGUUCUUUAAUGUUUCUUAUCUUUAAUUUGAGGGAUAUACCUUAAUGAAAAAAAUGCAAAUAAUGUUUCGUCUUUGUUCGUUUUUAUGUGACGAGGGAAGGGUUACGAUCACGCGCUCUCUCAGUCUCUCUCUCUCACGCACGCGCACGCACACAUACACACUCACAUACAGAGUCGAUAGCAGUAAAUAGAUAUACAUCUGUAGACAUGCAUAUAAUUAUACAGACAGUUGAACAGACCAACAAUUAUGCAAGUCAGAUAAACAGAUGUAGGAAGAGGUAGACGUACAGCAAUGCCCAGAGAAUGAGGGACUGACAGACAUAUAGAGAAGUAGAUGGAAGGGUGUGUAGUCCACACCAGACUACAAUUCACGGCCACCUAUAUCUAUCUUGAGUUUUCUUUCUUCCGGUGCAUAGCUUCAAUUAUUCAAUAGCUGUCGAACCUCACAGUCGUGUUGUCUUGAAACCAUUGACUACGGCAAGGGGGUGGUGGUGAUGGUCAGCUGGUGAUGGUGGUGGAUUGAUGAUGUGGUAGUGGUGGUGGUGAUUGAUGAUGAUGAUGAUGAUGAUGAUGAUGAUGAUGAUGAUGAUGAUGACAGUGACCUGAUAGAGUUAAAACUGAAGCUGGACACGUCUCUCGUCACAACGACGAAGCAUAUCCCCGCCUACACCAUGGACGACAUAUACAGUAUGCUGGGUGGAGAAAUGGGUCUCUUCCUAGGAGCGAGUAUGUUGACAGUGAUUGAAAUUCUCGAAGUUAUCGGUCUUAGCAUCUGGAUCCUGAUCAAGACUCUUUUCCAAGCCCGGUGACAGGGUCACCAUAGAUCAGUGCACAUAGGUCACAGGCACUUCCUUUAUAAUAGCUUCUCAAACGCUGAGGACUUGGAGGCUGCACUUUUCAUCUCGCACGUAAUGCCCCAUCUCACACAGAAGGAAGGAAAAAAAGGAAGAAAAAAGAGACAUGUUUCCUCAGACAACAUAGCCUAUACAUGCAUGUCGUUUUAUAACUCAUAAGCCUCUCGCUUUCCAAGAAAAGGGUGGCUAACGUGCUAUCAAUUUUUGCUGCCCGGCGUUUAUCGAUUGCUUCCCCUUAGAGUGCUCAUUAAAGCCCUCGCGGAGAUGAGCUUGACGUCAUCGUGAUGACCUUGGUGCCACAUGGAGGCAAGCAGCGCACCCCUAACCACCUUCCAGUCGUUAAAUUCUCUUUGCAACGAUUUUUGUGAUUCCGCAGAGUUAGCAGGCGAUCGGGCGUGACGCACCGAGAAUACGAAUUGUAACCCACAUUGUGAGCGAUAACUGUGAGUGACAGACACGUCACAACUUGUACUCUCGUCUCGGAAGAACAAAGGCAGCGCCAUAGAAAUCAUCUUCAUCAACAUAACCAAAGUCAUCAACGCCAUCAUCACCAUAACACUACCAUACCUGUGAUAAUAGUGAUGGUUGACCAUCAGAUCCACGCGGCCACGUGAGCAGAACAAUAAGCGGAAGAACCUCAGCCUGUCAGCUGUCCGAAGACUGAGACUACUAGCGCCAUCAAGCUGAACACAAAAUAAAACAAAACAAAAUUUCACGAACGGAUAGUCGACAAAGUAAGGGAACAAACCAAACAUGUAAAAGACGAGCUGGAGGAGUUAUCCUACCCUUUGAGUGCUGUUCUGUUUGUUGUGGUUAAAUGUCUACUGAGGUGAAUUUUGUUUUUUAAUGACUGAGCAAAACUCGGGAAGAAAUACUAUUUUUGCAAAUCUGGAUAAAUACUCUCAUUCUGUAAAAAUGCAUUUACGAAUAUCAACAAAAAGAGGUCAGUGGGAUUAUCUGUAAAUUAGACAUGCUUAUGAGAAAAUGCGUUUCACCUCUUUCUUUAUACGUUGAUGUUUGUAGGCGUUUGUAUUUCAAGAACGGAAGGGAGACAUUCACACAGAUUUAGUAAAAUCUCCUCUGCUGUACUUUCAACUCUUCUUACCCGGAAAAAAUAAGGACGAACGUGCGGUCAAGUUCUUCAGAGUGUUUACUCGAUGGUUUAAUAAAAUCUUCGCCAAACUUGUCA
Molecule: long non-coding RNA, 2101 nt
Organism: Pomacea canaliculata
Lineage: Eukaryota; Metazoa; Mollusca; Gastropoda; Architaenioglossa; Ampullariidae
Exons: 2
Source: RefSeq, a predicted model, not a curated record